UACGGAGGGGGCUAGCGUUGUUCGGAAUUACUGGGCGUAAAGCGCACGUAGGCGGCUUUGUAAGUUAGAGGUGAAAGCCCGGGGCUCAACUCUGGAAUUGCCUUUAAGACUGCAUCGCUAGAAUUGUGGAGAGGUAAGUGGAAUUCCGAGUGUAGAGGUGAAAUUCGUAGAUAUUCGGAAGAACACCAGUGGCGAAGGCGACUUACUGGACACAUAUUGACGCUGAGGUGCGAAAGCGUGGGGAGCAACAGG
Molecule: ribosomal RNA, 252 nt
Filed under: uncultured bacterium
Lineage: Bacteria
Description: partial 16S ribosomal RNA
Rfam family: Bacterial small subunit ribosomal RNA
Source: RNAcentral